RNAcentral lists this transfer RNA (72 nucleotides) under Candidatus Pacearchaeota archaeon CG1_02_35_32. RNAcentral's name for it is "tRNA-Arg". It matches the Rfam family "tRNA". Rfam says of the family: Transfer RNA (tRNA) molecules are approximately 80 nucleotides in length. Their secondary structure includes four short double-helical elements and three loops (D, anti-codon, and T loops). Further hydrogen bonds mediate the characteristic L-shaped molecular structure. tRNAs have two regions of fundamental functional importance: the anti-codon, which is responsible for specific mRNA codon recognition, and the 3' end, to which the tRNAs corresponding amino acid is attached (by aminoacyl-tRNA synthetases). tRNAs cope with the degeneracy of the genetic code in two manners: having more than one tRNA (with a specific anti-codon) for a particular amino acid; and 'wobble' base-pairing, i.e. permitting non-standard base-pairing at the 3rd anti-codon position. Lineage: Archaea; Nanobdellati. RNAcentral also lists the same sequence under 6 other names. The record is from RNAcentral.
GUCUCCGUAGUUUAGUGGAUAGAAUGCAUCCUUGCGGAGGAUGAGACCGGAGUUCAAUUCUCCGCGGAGACA